AACACAAACUGUCAAAACACUCUGCCUCCUCUCUGUUCAAAAUUUCCAUGAGUUUGAUUGGAAAGAGUUGAAAUUGGUGAGAGAGAAAGAUCAAAGGAAAGAAGAGAGAAAAACGCGUUGGAGGGAGAAGAGAUCUGCACUGAGAUCCUCUAUUUUCUUACAAUUAUUUGGUGUAGGAUUUGGGCUGUAUUUUAUUUAAAUUGUGUAGCCCAUAAUUUGUAUACUUCACAAGAUUGGAUUUAUUUUAUUUAUUUAAUUUAUCGGAUCCAA
Molecule: long non-coding RNA, 270 nt
Organism: Salvia hispanica
Lineage: Eukaryota; Viridiplantae; Streptophyta; Magnoliopsida; Lamiales; Lamiaceae
Source: RefSeq, a predicted model, not a curated record